Long non-coding RNA from Oreochromis aureus, 660 nucleotides. RefSeq lists it as uncharacterized. The transcript has 3 exons. Lineage: Eukaryota; Metazoa; Chordata; Actinopteri; Cichliformes; Cichlidae. The record is from RefSeq and is a predicted model, not a curated record.
GUGACUUACUCUUGAAGGCAGGAUACAUGGCGACAGUGUUGGUGAUGAGCGAAGCAUCAUAUCUGGACUCGGGAGAUGUUGCCAGCUCUGUCAACACAAACAUAGGGUCCUGAGUUCACCCUGUGGUGCUACCUGGGGGGAAGAGGAAGCCAUACGUGAGGCACCUCUGCAUAUCCUCCUUGUCCACAACCAUGGACGUCGUCUGAGGUCUUCUUCUUUCCUCCAACAUAUCCACUCUCCCUCCUCUGAACAUGUCCAAACUGCCUCAGCCUCGUCUCGCUAACGUUAUCUCCAAACUCCUCGACCUGAGCUUUGCCUCUGAUGUACUCAUUUAUCAUCCUGUCAAUUCUGGAUACUCCCAAAUGAAAAAGUUUGCAAAAGGUGUGUUAAAGUGCUUUUCACAGACAAGAUUGUAAAUUCAAGAAUUAGACUUUCCACAGGAAGAGGGCGGUGAUGACCUGCAGACUCUUCAGGUUAAGUUUCUUGAUAUGAACAGCAGCUAAUUGUAAGCAAACAACUGGCCUGAAAUAUCCUGGUAACAGGAUACACUUCAUAUCAUGGAAGUGUAUCUAUAAAAUUAUCCUGUGAAGUUUUUAUAAUUGUAAUGAAAUUCCAACAAGAGAAAUAAACCUUAAACUUAAAUAAAGUUUAAGGUGACUU